GGGGGCGACAUGGCUUCGACGGGGAUAGAGAACGAAAAGUAGCGAGUCGUUGAGCAGACAACGAUAAAACAUGCACCUAAAAUUAAACGCAGAAGAUAAUUUUGCAUUAGCAGCUUAGUCUGCUUGUCACCCUUAAGAGUCCUGCGACUUAAGACGUGGCAUCAUUGAAAGCAGGGAACCGCAUGCGGCUAAGCUUUGCCCCGCAGACGGAAUCUGAUGAAGCUACCGAAUAUGGACUUCUGUUUGUCAUAGUUCAUAUAAGGGAAUUGAAAUGACAAACUGCACUCGGAGAAACUUUUCCGGAACUGUUUUCGGACGUGGGUUCGACACCCACCGCCUCCACCA
Non-coding RNA from Peptostreptococcaceae bacterium oral taxon 113, 345 nucleotides. It matches the Rfam family "transfer-messenger RNA". Rfam says of the family: Bacterial tmRNA, also known as 10Sa RNA or SsrA, is named for its dual tRNA and mRNA-like properties. Its role is to liberate the mRNA from a stalled ribosome. The record is from Rfam. Lineage: Bacteria; Bacillati; Bacillota; Clostridia; Peptostreptococcales; Peptostreptococcaceae.